AUUAUGCUAUCAAAAAUCAUAGAUAAUAAAGAUAUCUUUAUUAUCUAUGUCAAAAAUAUACUUAUUAAUAGUUUUGAUAAUACGUAGUUGGUUACACUGUAAACCGUAUGUUUAAGUCAAAUUUAUUUUCUUAUAGAUAAAAUUUUAUGUAAAGGUUACAAAUUUGUUUGCAAUUAUAAGGUAGCUUGGAAUUCAAGUCUAUAAAAUAUCCUGAACUUAAAGUCUUUUGCUAAAUAAACACCUUUGUAUUUCAAUUUACUUUAGAAUCAUGUUUGGAUUAACGAAAUUAGCCCAGCCUUUGGCCAAGCAAUCCUUACAAGUAAUUUCCAAGAGAACAAAUAUUACUGUUAAUGGUCCACCUCAAGUCAGAAUGCCAAAAUGGCAACAAUUGCUUAUCGGAGGUACUGCAUCUGGAUCAAUCUUGAUCAUACCUAUUUGGGUUCUGUAUGAUCUUAAAAGUCUUCCACGAGCAUAAUUACUAUACUUCAUGUUUUUGUUGCAUUAUUAUAAAAUUAGAUAUGUACUAUGUAAACAUUUUUUUCUAUUGAAAUAAAAUGAUAUUGUAGUUAAAAUACUACCAACUGUAUAA
Aphis gossypii (cotton aphid) is the source of this 589-nucleotide long non-coding RNA. RefSeq lists it as uncharacterized. The record is from RefSeq and is a predicted model, not a curated record. Lineage: Eukaryota; Metazoa; Arthropoda; Insecta; Hemiptera; Aphididae. The transcript is spliced from 2 exons.